This 393-nucleotide unclassified non-coding RNA is filed under the name fungal sp. RNAcentral's name for it is "partial internal transcribed spacer region". The stretch from base 1 to 46 matches the Rfam family "Eukaryotic small subunit ribosomal RNA", at positions 1786 to 1831 of the family's 1831-position model. Lineage: Eukaryota; Fungi. The record is from RNAcentral.
AAGUCGUAACAAGGUUUCCGUAGGUGAACCUGCGGAAGGAUCAUUAACACGUAUCCAAACGUUAAACCCCCCUGUGAACCUUCAGUCGUACUCGUACGUCCGUUAGAAAAAGCAGGACGUCUGCAAGGAGCGUGCAUGUUGUGCGUGUAAGUGGCCUGGCAUCCCCAAGCAGUUAGUGUCUGAAAGUGUCACUAACGUUAGUGUCUGAAAGUGUCACUAACAUGUGUAAGGAUGACGCAGUCACGAUCGUUGGAGGCCCACACGGCCGACGACCGGGUCACUGGGUGCAAGCCCCCUUAUCACACCCCUGCUCUAUCUAUGGUGAUCCUGCGGGAAGUCCUGCGGUCGAACGCCGAAACCGAACAACUGUUAACAAUGGAUAUCUUGGUUCUC